ACAGCACUGUAAUGAUAGGCUAGC
This 24-nucleotide non-coding RNA is filed under the name Mus musculus (house mouse). The record is from RNAcentral. Lineage: Eukaryota; Metazoa; Chordata; Mammalia; Rodentia; Muridae.